UACAGAGGUCCCGAGCGUUGUUCGGAUUCACUGGGCGUAAAGGGUGCGUAGGUGGCGGGGCAAGUUUGAUGUGAAAGCUCAGGGCUUAACCCUGAAAUGGCAUUGAAUACUGCUUUGCUGGAGGUUUGGAGGGGGGACUGGAAUUCUUGGUGUAGCAGUGAAAUGCGUAGAUAUCAAGAGGAACACCAGUGGCGAAGGCGAGUCCCUGGACAACACCUGACACUGAGGCACGAAAGCUAGGGGAGCAAACAGG
RNAcentral lists this ribosomal RNA (253 nucleotides) under uncultured bacterium. RNAcentral describes it as "partial 16S ribosomal RNA". It matches the Rfam family "Bacterial small subunit ribosomal RNA", at positions 524 to 776 of the family's 1533-position model. The record is from RNAcentral.